RNAcentral lists this small RNA (27 nucleotides) under Bombyx mori (domestic silkworm). RNAcentral's name for it is "ovarian small RNA-19274". Lineage: Eukaryota; Metazoa; Arthropoda; Insecta; Lepidoptera; Bombycidae. The record is from RNAcentral.
UAAGCUAAACAAUGGUGUGUUAGUAAA